Long non-coding RNA from Vidua chalybeata, 2235 nucleotides. RefSeq lists it as uncharacterized. NCBI's taxonomy places the organism in Eukaryota, Metazoa, Chordata, Aves, Passeriformes, Viduidae. The transcript is spliced from 2 exons. The record is from RefSeq and is a predicted model, not a curated record.
UCUUGCUGCAGGAGCGCUGUCCGGCCGGCAGGCGGCAGCACCGAGGCGCGGCGCCCGGCCCGGCCCGGUAAGGCCGGGCCUCGGGAUACACCCACGGGCGGGAUCGCCUCGGGAACGGCUGGGAAUAAACUGAACCGGCCUCGUCUUCCGCUGCUCACAGUCCAGCCGGAGCGCCUGGGGAAUAAACACCUGCUCCGUGUCUCCCGGGAAGAGCUUCUCCAGGUGGAAGCGCUGGGAAACAGGACUUGGCACAGCGCGUUUCUCCCUGUUGUAGCGACCAGAGCACAAAGUGACUUCUGCAAUCAAACUCUGAAGCUGACAGGCCCAAAAGCUCUGUCUGGCGACCCAGGAACAAAAGGACGCUCCCAGGGAUGAGGAACGUUCCCAGCAAACACUCCCAGCGCAGCACAGAGGCAGCCCUGGAGCUCGUGUGUGGGGCUGGCAAGGGCUGCCAGGAGGGCACAGCCCCCAGGUGGGGUGGCAGUGGCAGUGACAGCAGCCAAUUGCCACGGUGAGAUGGCACAACAGACAAAGGCCAGCAAUGCCCGUGGGAAGUGCAGGUUUGCCUUCAGCUCCUUGUGGUGCAGCAUCACCUUCCACCACAGCCACAUCCCGGGAGAAGUCUCAAGAGGGCACAUAAAAAUCCCAGGAUGCAACAAAACGCAGCAUCUGUCACCCUGAUUGUGUUCCAGCCCAGUGUGGGGGCCCAAACCCCACACCCACGGGUAAACAUUGACCUGAGCUGGGUCAGUGUUAAACACAGCCCCAAUUCUGACCCACAGCACGGUCCCAGAGGUUUCCUGCCCAGGGCUGAGGGCAGGAAUGUGCAUGAUGUGCAUAAAUAACAUUUGCUGAGAGCAGCCACCACCCCAGUCCCUCAGACCUCACAAGAUUUUGUAGUGAACAGACCCAACUCCUCACCCUUAAUAUAAAUUUCAAACACAUUCCAUUAGAAAAAUAGCAGACAGUACAUGAUACACAAUCAUACAACAGAAUUAAAAGGAAUAACAGAAUAUACAAGGAAUAAAACAGAAUAUAUAAGGAAUAACGGAAGAUUUUCCACAAAAAACACAAGUUUAUUUUUCCCCUCGUCUGUCUUGGUCUGUAGGACCAAAUCUUUGCAAUCGAGACACAGGUUUUGGCUUAGAAAGUAAAAACUUUAGUGCAUCUGGCUACAUGAUUAAAACACAUAGAUGCAUGGGUGGUCAUAGAUGGAAAGCUUUUCAGGAGAGAAGAGAGCUGUUUCUAUAGCACACUUCCAUACACCCUCAGAAAAAGCAGAAUUGCCACCAACCCCUAAAACCCUUUGAGAGGAAUCCAGCCCUCCUUGGGACACCCAACACAGCAGACAUUGAAAAAGGAAAGAAAAACUCAAACUUGUAGGAGGAAGAAAUAAACAACUCUCUCCAACUUCUGCUCUGAGCAGCACAGCUGGAUGUGGCAGCUGAACCAUGUCACCUGCCAGUAGCUCCUCUCUCCAAAAACACUUCCCUAGCUCUGUGGGAGCACCUGCAGGGCCUGCAGUGUGGCACUCAGCACCCAGGACCUCACUCGGUGUCUGCAGAACCCCUCCCACUGCUCCAGGGUGUUUGCUCCUCACAAAGCCACCCGUGAGCCAAGACACACGUCGGACCCAAAGGCAACAAGGGGCCACACAUCCCAUUCCUUAGCUGCCCGCUCUCUCCACAUCCUCACCCUGCCAAGGGAGGGAGAAGUCUGCAGCUGGAUCCAGUGCCCAGGUGGAGCAAAGCAGCUUGAGAGCAGCUGGCAUCUUCCUGAGGUGGCUGACAGUGACAGGAUGUGUGUGCCCAAGCCCUUGCAGGAGAGGUACUGGGGUGGAUUAAAAGUUCCUGCUGAAUGAUGUUGUUCUGUGUAGCCCCAAAUGGUUCACAGCUCCAAAUAAAGCUUAAAUCAGAACCAUCAGCGUGCAGGGAAAAACAAAUGAAGCGGCCUCUCAGUGGUAAGAUGUUCCCAGGGGAAAAAAAAAUUAAUUCAUCCCUGCUUCUUUCAUAGGCAGGGAUCCUACCUUGUGUCACUGCACAGACACAAAUGAUGUAGCAUCCAAGAACACGGAAAAGGCCAAGGGGAAAACUACACACUGCCUUUUAAUGUUCUACUACAGCACUCCAUUUCUGCCAAGCACUUUUUUUGUUUUCCAGACCAAGAGACCAAGUGCAUGGACUGAAUUUAGGGAUAUUUGAGCAUGCUUGAAAGGCGUUCACAGAAAAUAAAGUA